RNAcentral lists this ribosomal RNA (545 nucleotides) under uncultured bacterium. Its description in RNAcentral is "bacterial SSU rRNA". It matches the Rfam family "Bacterial small subunit ribosomal RNA", at positions 777 to 1320 of the family's 1533-position model. The record is from RNAcentral.
AAUAGAUACCCGGGUAGUCCACGCCGUAAACGGUGAGUGCUAGGUGUCAGGGGUUUCGAUCCCCUUGGUGCCGAAGUCAACACAGUAAGCACUCCGCCUGGGGAGUACGGUCGCAAGACUGAAACUCAAAGGAAUUGACGGGGACCCGCACAAGCAGUGGAGUAUGUGGUUUAAUUCGAAGCAACGCGAAGAACCUUACCAGGUCUUGACAUCCCUCUGAAUACCCUGGAGACAGGGUAGGCCUUCGGGACAGAGGAGACAGGUGGUGCAUGGUUGUCGUCAGCUCGUGUCGUGAGAUGUUGGGUUAAGUCCCGCAACGAGCGCAACCCUUGAUUUUAGUUGCCAGCACGUAAAGGUGGGCACUCUAGAAUGACUGCCGGUGACAAACCGGAGGAAGGCGGGGAUGACGUCAAAUCAUCAUGCCCCUUAUGACCUGGGCUACACACGUACUACAAUGGCUGGUACAGAGAGAUGCAAUACCGCGAGGUGGAGCCGAAACUUAAAAACCAGUCUCAGUUCGGAUUGUAGGCUGAAACUCGCCUACA